UAGGGAAUCUUCCGCAAUGGACGCAAGUCUGACGGAGCAACGCCGCGUGAGUGAAGAAGGAUUUCGGUUCGUAAAACUCUGUUGUUAGGGAAGAAAAAAUGUAUAGUAACUAUAUACAAAAGAGACGGUACCUAACCAGAAAGCCACGGCUAACUACGUGCCAGCAGCCGCGGUAAUACGUAGGUGGCAAGCGUUGUCCGGAAUUAUUGGGCGUAAAGCGCGCGCAGGUGGUUUAGAAAGUCUGAUGUGAAAGCCCACGGCUCAACCGUGGAGGGUCAUUGGAAACUAAUAAACUUGAGUGCAGGAGAGAAAAGUGGAAGUCCUAGUGUAGCGGUGAAAUGCGUAGAGAUUAGGAGGAACACCGGUGGCGAAAGCGGCUUUUUGGCCUGCAACUGACACUGAGGCGCGAAAGCGUGGGGAGCAAACAGG
This 429-nucleotide ribosomal RNA is filed under the name Verrucomicrobiota bacterium. Its description in RNAcentral is "Verrucomicrobia bacterium partial 16S ribosomal RNA". It matches the Rfam family "Bacterial small subunit ribosomal RNA", at positions 355 to 776 of the family's 1533-position model. The record is from RNAcentral. Lineage: Bacteria; Pseudomonadati; Verrucomicrobiota.